AGUUUGAAAGAACCAGUGCCACGACUACUUUUCAAGAAAAUGCUUAAUUUGCCCGCCAUUGGAAAAGCCUCUUAAAAACCCUGUUGUUCCCACCCGCUCUUAUCGUCUUAUUACAAUAUUAAGUCUCUUAAAAAAACCCGUUCCCUCUCUCUUCCUCAUUUAAAUUUCCUUCAGUCUUUGUCCAACCAACAAAAUCAAUUCAGUUCAACUCAGCUAGCUCUUCCUCCUCCGUUCGGUUCCCCAGACACAGUAAGAAAAAACCCUAGAACUUUCUCUGUGUUUCUUGAAACAAAGUUUGAAUCCAACACAAUCCACUCUGGAUUCCUGAUUCUAGGGUUUUCGUUUCAGCAUCGACAUGUCCUGGGAGGACGAAGUUGUUAUGCGCGAUGUCGCCAAUGCGGGGCUUGUUGUCAGCGAUCGCAUUGGCGGUGAAGCUGCUACUCAGCUCGACGUUGAAGAUGCCCUAGAAGCGUCUAGAUACGCUAGCCACCCCUAUUCUACUCACCCUAGAGAGCUAGUGAAACUGAGUGGUAGGGAAAUGGCACAUUAUGAUGCAGUGUGAUAAUAAUAUUUCAGUGGCUGCCUCUGGUUGAGGUGGUGGAUUCAUUGGACUUGCCUACAGUACUUGUUCAAAGAUAUAAUGCAGCUGGUGGAGAAGGAAAUGCUUUAUGUGGAAUAUUUCCGGAGAUACGGAGAGCAUGGGCAUUGGUUGAUAAUUCCUUGUUCCUUUGGCGUUUUGACAAAUGGUAAGAUCUUUUUAUUUUCUUAAACUAAUAGUUGUGAAAUUGGCCACAGUGUCGUGGAUUGUUGAUGUAAAAUGGAGAUGUAAAUUAAUAGAAAAGUCACUAAGGCAGGGGUAGUUACUAAAGUUGACCAAGUGUCCAUAGAGCUCUAGUGGUUAUUUCGUUAUUAAGCAAUUUGUUGGCAAUUGAAACACAGAAAUAUUAAGAAAUGAUGUUCUGAUUUCUUAAGUUAAUAUAUCUUUGUAUGAAGGCUUAAAAUUAUUUGAAGAAGGCUGAUGGGAAAUAUUUGAAA
Mangifera indica (mango) is the source of this 1035-nucleotide RNA transcript. It is a transcript of the gene named nuclear pore complex protein NUP155-like, with no coding region annotated. Lineage: Eukaryota; Viridiplantae; Streptophyta; Magnoliopsida; Sapindales; Anacardiaceae. The transcript is spliced from 2 exons. The record is from RefSeq and is a predicted model, not a curated record.